AGUGAACGCUGGCGGUAGGCCUAACACAUGCAAGUCGAACGGCAGCACAGUAAGAGCUUGCUCUUACGGGUGGCGAGUGGCGGACGGGUGAGGAAUACAUCGGAAUCUACUUUUUCGUGGGGGGUAACGUAGGGAAACUUACGCUAAUACCGCAUACGACCUACGGGUGAAAGCAGGGGAUCUUCGGACCUUGCGCGAUUGAAUGAGCCGAUGUCGGAUUAGCUAGUUGGCGGGGUAAAGGCCCACCAAGGCGACGAUCCGUAGCUGGUCUGAGAGGAUGAUCAGCCACACUGGAACUGAGACACGGUCCAGACUCCUACGGGAGGCAGCAGUGGGGAAUAUUGGACAAUGGGCGCAAGCCUGAUCCAGCCAUACCGCGUGGGUGGAGAAGGCCUUCGGGUUGUAAAGCCCUUUUGUUGGGAAAGAAAAGCAGCAGGUUAAUACCCCGCUGUUCUGACGGUACCCAAAGAAUAAGCACCGGCUAACUUCGUG
RNAcentral lists this ribosomal RNA (492 nucleotides) under uncultured bacterium. Its description in RNAcentral is "partial 16S ribosomal RNA". It matches the Rfam family "Bacterial small subunit ribosomal RNA", at positions 29 to 507 of the family's 1533-position model. The record is from RNAcentral.